CGGGACGACGUCAAGUCAUCAUGGCCCUUUACGACCAGGGCUACACACGUGCUACAAUGGUCGGUACAAAGGGUUGCUACCUAGCGAUAGGAUGCUAAUCUCAAAAAGCCGAUCGUAGUCCGGAUUGGAGUCUGCAACUCGACUCCAUGAAGUCGGAAUCGCUAGUAAUCGCGGAUCAGCAUGUCGCGGUGAAUACGUUCCCGGGUCUU
Molecule: ribosomal RNA, 209 nt
Filed under: uncultured Acinetobacter sp.
Lineage: Bacteria; Pseudomonadati; Pseudomonadota; Gammaproteobacteria; Moraxellales; Moraxellaceae
Description: partial 16S ribosomal RNA
Rfam family: Bacterial small subunit ribosomal RNA
Source: RNAcentral